GUCUACGGCCAUACCACCCGGAACGCGCCCGAUCUCGUCUGAUCUCGGAAGCUAAGCAGGGUCGGGCCUGGUUAGUACUUGGAUGGGAGGAAAGCACAUGCAAUACAAU
RNAcentral lists this ribosomal RNA (109 nucleotides) under Neogale vison (American mink). The record is from RNAcentral. Lineage: Eukaryota; Metazoa; Chordata; Mammalia; Carnivora; Mustelidae.